UUAAGAUACUAAGAGCAUACGGUGGAUGCCUUGGCGAUAUCUGCCGACGAAGGACGUGACAAGCUGCGAAAAGCUGCGGAGAGAUGCAAAUAAUCGGCGACCCGCAGACAUCCGAAUGGAGAAAUCCGGCUGUGAUGAUGCACAGCCAUCCAUGCCCAAGAGCAUGAGAAGGGAACCGGGCGAACUGAAACAUCUAAGUAACCCGAGGAAAAGAAAUCAAACGAGAUACCCCAAGUAGCGGCGAGCGAACAGGGAAGAAGCCCAAACCGGUGAAGGAAACUUUGCCGGGGUUGAGGACCAUCAGACCCGCGAAGAACCUUAGCCGAAACUGUUGGGAAACAGUGCCAAAGACAGUGAAAGCCUGGUAGGCGAAAAAGAGAAACGCGGAGAUGGCACCAGAGUACCGCGGGACACGAGAAAUCCCGUGGGAAACAGGGGGGACCACCCUCCAAGGCAAAACACAGAUAUCGACCGAUAGCGCAUAGUACCAUGAGGGAAAGGUGAAAAGCACCCCGGGAGGGGAAUGAAAGAGAACCUGAAACCGUAUGUUUACAAGCAGUCGGAGACCGCUUAAUAAUAAGGUCGACGGCGUGCCUAUUGAAGAAUGAACCGGCGAGUUACGAAGCCUGGCAAGGUUAAGCAGGAAAUGCGGAGCCGAAGCGAAAGCGAGUCUUAAGAGGGCGCAAGUCAGGAAGCGUAGACCCGAAACCACAGUGAUCUACCCAUGUCCAGGUUGAAACACAGGUAAAAAUGUGUGGAGGACCGAACCUAUAUCCGUUGAAAAGGGUUAGGAUGAGGUGUGGGUAGGGGUGAAAUUCCAAUCGAACGUGGAGAUAGCUGGUUCUCCCCGAAAUAGCUUUAGGGCUAGCCUCAGGGAAAAGAUUGCAGGCGGUAGAGCACUGAUCAGGAGAGGGACCUACCCGGUUACCAAACCCAGUCAAACUCCGAAUGGCUGCAAUCAUACCUGGGAGUCAGACUGCGACUAAUAAGGGCCGCAGUCAAAAGGGAAACAGCCCAGACCAUCAGCUAAGGUCCCCAAUGCCGUGCUAAGUGGCGAAGGAUGUGGCAUUUCAUAAACAACCAGGAUGUUGGCUCAGAAGCAGCCACCAUUUAAAGAGUGCGUAAUAGCUCACUGGUCGAGAGACGCUGCGCCGAAAAUGUCCGGGGCUCAAGCACGGAACCGAAGCUAUGGCAUGAUAGCAAUAUCAUGGGUAGGGGAGCGUUCUUAUAAGGAAGAAGCAUGACCGGAAGGACAUGUGGACAAAUAAGAAGUGAGAAUGCCGGUAUGAGUAUCGAAAAGAAAGGUGAGAAUCCUUUCCACCGAAAGCCCGAGGGUUCCUGAGCAACGAUCGUCGACUCAGGGUAAGUCGGGACCUAAGCCGAGGCGAGAAGCGUAGGCGAUGGACAACAGGUUGAAAUUCCUGUACCGGAUCAAGUCGAUCGAGCGAAGGAGCGACGCAGGAGGGCACAUGAUCGCGCGGGUGGAAGAGCGCGUCCAAGUGCGUAUGUUGCUGCAGAGGAAAACCCCUGCAGCUAAAAGCAGAGACAUGAUGGGGAGUUAAAGGGAACUUUGACGAACUCAUGAAUCCCACACUGCCAAGAAAAACUUCUAGCGAGACAAGAUCCGCCCGUACCGUAAACCGACACAGGUAGGCGGGGAGAGAAUCCUAAGGUGCGCGGGAAAACCCUCGUUAAGGAACUCGGCAAAUUGCAUCCGUAACCUAGGGAGAAGGAUGGCCCCCGGUCAGUGAAGAGCAGAAACGCUCAGAGCUAAAAGGGGCGGCAGAAAAGAGGCCCAAGCAACUGUUUACCAAAAACACAGGUGCCUGCGAAAGCGAAAGCUGAAGUAUAGGUGCUGACGCCUGCCCGGUGCCGGAAGGUUAAGGAGAGAAGUUAGCGAAAGCGAAGCAUCGAACUGAAGCCCCGGUGAACGGCGGCCGUAACUAUAACGGUCCUAAGGUAGCGAAAUUCCUUGUCGGGUAAGUUCCGACCCGCAUGAAAGGCGUAAUGAUUUGGGCACUGUCUCAACGAGGGGCCCGGUGAAAUUGAAAUACCUGUGAAGAUGCAGGUUACCCGCGACUGGACAGAAAGACCCCAUGGAGCUUCACUGCAGCUUGAGAUUGAAUCCCGGUGACAGAUGCACAGGAUAGGUGGGAGGCGCCGAAGCAUUGCCCUAGGGCGGUGCGGAGCCGAUGUUGGGAUACCACCCUUCUGUUGCUGAGAUUCUAACGCGAGGAGUAACGACCCUGCGGACCCUCUCAGGCAGGCGGUUUGACUGGGGCGGUCGCCUCCGAAAGAGUAACG
This 2304-nucleotide ribosomal RNA is filed under the name human gut metagenome. RNAcentral's name for it is "bacterial LSU rRNA". It matches the Rfam family "Bacterial large subunit ribosomal RNA", at positions 1 to 2302 of the family's 2925-position model. The record is from RNAcentral.